Molecule: long non-coding RNA, 279 nt
Filed under: Trifolium pratense (red clover)
Lineage: Eukaryota; Viridiplantae; Streptophyta; Magnoliopsida; Fabales; Fabaceae
Description: long non-coding RNA (TPRA_LNC000489)
Source: RNAcentral
GAGAAGCAAUCAAAGUGAGUAAUCAUCCGAGAGAGAAGUAGCAUCCAAAGAGAGAAACCAUCAGAUAAAUAGAUCAUCAGAGAGAGACAAACCAAAUCAAACCAAUUCAUCAUCCAAUACAAUCCAAGCUAACCAAAUCCAAACCAAUCCAACAAAUCCAAACUUUACCAAACCAAAUUGUUCCGAUCCAAACUGAACCAAAUCUUACAAAGUACAAACUAAUCCAAACCAACAUAAAGAAGAACCAAACCACCAAACAGAAGAAUCAGUAAAUAGAAA